UAGCAUAUGUUAAUGUUGUUGCGGUUAAAAAGCUCGUAGUUGGAUCUCGGCGGGCCGGGGGCGGUUCGCUCUCUGGCGUGACUGCCCCACAGGCCCGUGUUUUUGGCGGAGGUCGCCGGGUGCUCUUAACCGAGUGUCCUGCGGCGCCGUCAGGUUUACUUUGAAAAAAUUAGAGUGCUCCAGGCAGGCUUGACACGCUUGAAUAGUCGUGCAUGGAAUAAUGGAAUAGGACGUCGUUUCUAUUUUGUUGGUUUUCGGAUAUCGACGUAAUGAUUAAUAGGGACAGUCGGGGGCAUUAGUAUUCAGACGAC
RNAcentral lists this ribosomal RNA (311 nucleotides) under Normanellidae environmental sample. RNAcentral's name for it is "SSU rRNA". It matches the Rfam family "Eukaryotic small subunit ribosomal RNA", at positions 595 to 906 of the family's 1831-position model. Lineage: Eukaryota; Metazoa; Arthropoda; Copepoda; Harpacticoida; Normanellidae. The record is from RNAcentral.